GCCUUGCUGGUGGCCCCACAUUGGAGGGUCCUGGGGAGGGAGAGGCGGGCGGACCCAGUGGCACCCAUGGACUUGGUCUCCUCUCUGGAGCAGAAGCUGUCGGGCAGCCACAAGGCGCUGGUGGAGAUGCAAGAUGUCGUGGCUGAGCUUCUGAGGACCGUCCCCUGGGAGCAGCCGGCCACUAAGGACCCCCUCCUCCGCGUCCAGGAGGUGCUGAAUGGCACGGAGGUGAACCUGCAGCACCUCACCGCCCUGGUGGACUGCCGCAGCCUGCAUCUGGACUACGUGCAAGCACUGACCGGCUUCUGCUAUGAUGGCGUGGAGGGCCUCAUCUACCUGGCCCUCUUCUCCUUCGUCACAGCCCUCAUGUUCAGCUCCAUCGUCUGCAGCGUCCCGCACACCUGGCAGCAGAAGAGAGGCCCUGAUGAGGACGGGGAGGAAGAGGCCGCUCCAGGGCCGCGGCAGGCACACGACAGCCUCUACCGCGUCCACAUGCCCAGCCUGUACAGCUGUGGCAGCAGCUACGGCAGUGAGACCAGCAUCCCGGCCGCGGCCCACACCGUCAGCAACGCCCCGGUCACUGAGUA
RNAcentral lists this small RNA (587 nucleotides) under Pongo abelii (Sumatran orangutan). RNAcentral describes it as "retained intron". Lineage: Eukaryota; Metazoa; Chordata; Mammalia; Primates; Hominidae. The record is from RNAcentral.